RNAcentral lists this small RNA (112 nucleotides) under Aliivibrio salmonicida. RNAcentral describes it as "t44 RNA". It matches the Rfam family "t44 RNA". From Rfam's summary of the family: This family consists of a number of bacterial RNA genes of between 135 and 170 bases in length. The t44 gene is found between the map and rpsB genes in all species in the full alignment apart from Shigella flexneri. Lineage: Bacteria; Pseudomonadati; Pseudomonadota; Gammaproteobacteria; Vibrionales; Vibrionaceae. The record is from RNAcentral.
CUUUUAUCUUAAAUCACACACAUAUCGUCACGCAGUCUGGGGUGCUCAAUUUUUUGAUUAUUUAAUCAAUUAGUUAGGGUCGGAUUAUUAGCGGGAUAUGUGGAGGCUUAAC